CUCAGUCAUUGCACUGCGACUGUGCUGACCACUGCGAAUUCCCCAAAUGUGGGAAUCUCGACUGCAUAAUUUGUGGUAGUGGGGGACUGCGUUCGCGCUCUCCCCUG
Molecule: small nuclear RNA, 107 nt
Organism: Gasterosteus aculeatus aculeatus (three-spined stickleback)
Lineage: Eukaryota; Metazoa; Chordata; Actinopteri; Perciformes; Gasterosteidae
Gene: U1
Rfam family: U1 spliceosomal RNA
About the family: U1 is a small nuclear RNA (snRNA) component of the spliceosome (involved in pre-mRNA splicing). Its 5' end forms complementary base pairs with the 5' splice junction, thus defining the 5' donor site of an intron. There are significant differences in sequence and secondary structure between metazoan and yeast U1 snRNAs, the latter being much longer (568 nucleotides as compared to 164 nucleotides in human).
Source: Ensembl